GCCUCAGUAACGGCGAGUGAAGCGGCAACAGCUCAAAUUUGAAAUCUGGCGCCCUCGGCGUCCGAGUUGUAAUUUGUAGAGGAUGCUUCGGCGAGGGCUCCCGUCUAAGUCCCUUGGAACAGGGCGUCACAGAGGGUGAGAAUCCCGUACGUGAUGGGCUGCCCGAGCCGUGUGAAGCUCCUUCGACGAGUCGAGUUGUUUGGGAAUGCAGCUCUAAAUGGGAGGUAAAUUUCUUCUAAAGCUAAAUACCGGCCAGAGACCGAUAGCGCACAAGUAGAGUGAUCGAAAGAUGAAAAGCACUUUGGAAAGAGAGUUAAAAAGUACGUGAAAUUGUUGAAAGGGAAGCGCUUGCAACCAGACUCGCGCGCAGUUGCUCAGCCGGUCUCCUGACCGGCGUACUCUUCUGCGUCCGGGCCAGCAUCAGUUCGGGCGGCCGGAUAAAGGCCCCGGGAAUGUGGCUCCCCUCGGGGAGUGUUAUAGCCCGGGGUGCAAUGCGGCCAGCCCGGACUGAGGAACUCGCUUCGGCUAGGAUGCUGGCGUAAUGGUUGUAAGCGGCCCGUCUUGAAACACGGACCAAGGAGUCUAACAUCUAUGCGAGUGUUUGGGUGUCAAACCCAUGCGCGAAAUGAAAGUGAACGGAGGUGGGAACCCUCGCGGGUGCACCAUCGACCGAUCCUGAUGUCUUCGGAUGGAUUUGAGUAAGAGCAUAGCUGUUGGGACCCGAAAGAUGGUGAACUAUGCCUGAAUAGGGUGAAGCCAGAGGAAACUCUGGUGGAGGCUCGCAGCGGUUCUGACGUGCAAAUCGAUCGUCAAAUUUGGGUAUAGGGGCGAAAGACUAAUCGAACCAUUGGCCUGCGGCUGCUAGGUGGUCAAGAGGCCGCGCGACGGGAAAGCGCGGCCUAGUCCCUCCACUCGGGGCGACAUCAUCAAAUUGUUCGGGGACGUCCUUAGAGCUCAGGCCACCGCGGCGCCGUCGAAAGGCGGCGCGCAGCACCGGGGUAACGACCCAGGGGAUGGUAACAGCGCCUGAGAUUGGACAAUCCGCAGCCAAGCCCCUAAGGGCCCGGCGACCUCGCUCGGGGUCGCGGGGCCUACGGGGAAGGUUCACAGACUAGAUGGUGAUGGGUGCGCCCUCGGGCGUGCUUAAGAUAUAGUCGACCCUCACGGAAACGUGAACGGCGGGACGAAGCCGGCAGGGGUGAGUGGGCGCCGCGGGUCUCAAACCCGCCCGCGGCGGCACCCCCCGGCCCGAAUCCCGCCGCGGGGGCCUGGCGGCCAGGCCC
RNAcentral lists this ribosomal RNA (1283 nucleotides) under Kellermania plurilocularis. RNAcentral's name for it is "eukaryotic LSU rRNA". It matches the Rfam family "Eukaryotic large subunit ribosomal RNA", at positions 77 to 1399 of the family's 3401-position model. Lineage: Eukaryota; Fungi; Ascomycota; Dothideomycetes; Botryosphaeriales; Planistromellaceae. The record is from RNAcentral.